CCCGCUGAACUUCAGCAUAUCAAUAAGCGGAGGAAAAGAAAUUAACACGGAUUCCCUUAGUAACUGCGAGUGAAGCGGGAAAAGCUCAAAUUUAAAAUCUGGUGGUCUUUGGCUAUUCGAGUUGUAAUUUAGAGAAGCGUGUAACGCGCAGGAGCAUGCAUAAGUCUCCUAGAAUGGAGCGUCAUAGAGGGUGAGAAUCCCGGCCUUAGCAUGCACCCCCAGGGGUUCUGUGAUGCGCUCUCAAAGAGUCGAGUUGUUUGGGAAUGCAGCUCAAAAUGGGUGGUGAACUCCAUCUAAAGCUAAAUAUUGGCGAGAGACCGAUAGCAAACAAGUACCGUGAGGGAAAGAUGAAAAGCACUUUGGAAAGAGAGUGAAACAGUACGUGAAAUUGUUGAAAGGGAAACGCUUGAAGUCAGUCGCGUCGACCGAGACUCAGCCUCGCCUUGGCUUGGUGUACUUCUCGGCUGACGGGUCAGCAUCUAUUUCGAUCCUUGGAUAAUGGCAAGGGAAAGGUAGCACCUUUACAGGUGUGUUAUAGUCCUUUGUCGGAUGCAAGGGUUGGGAUUGAGGAACUCAGCACGCACCUCAUCGGUGUCGGGGCCUUUUGGCCUACGUUACGUGCUUAGGAUGCUGGCAUAAUGACUUUUAACGACCCGUCUUGAAACACGG
This 669-nucleotide ribosomal RNA is filed under the name uncultured fungus. Its description in RNAcentral is "eukaryotic LSU rRNA". It matches the Rfam family "Eukaryotic large subunit ribosomal RNA", at positions 24 to 664 of the family's 3401-position model. The record is from RNAcentral. Lineage: Eukaryota; Fungi.